ACAUUGGUAUUUAGUAAUGUUACCUACACUUAUGACAACAUAUUUUUAUUCAUCAAAAUUUAUAUUUACCAUAUCUUUUUCAUCAAUUACUCAUAUUUUUUAUAUAUUUGUUAUAAAAAUACUAUCUGUCAUAGCACCGUUAUAGUUGCAUAGCUGCCCAAAAAUGUUGCCACUAUUUUCAAUAGCCCACUAUUUUAAACUUUGCUUUGGAAUGGCCAUGAAUUUCUCGUUAAAAAAAAACAAAACAACGCAUGUGUCGUUAUCUGUCAUCAGAUAUAUAGAACACUAUCACAUAUAGAACAAAAUCCAUCAACAAACGCUGCUAGCAAUGCGACCAAAAGCGACACAGAAUAGAGCUGAGAUUAACGCAGACAGAUGUGAAAUUUUUCUAUUUGCUUACUUGCCAACGCAUGAUUGAUUUAGAGGGGAUAUCAGGAACUGAAUCUGUAGACAAAUCAUAGGCCCUGAAAUCCAAUUCAGUGCUUCGGCCAGUAAUUGGAACUACUGGGCCUUGAGCAAGGCGAGAUGCUAUAGCUAGUUCACUUCACUGGACCAAGUUCCAAGGAAAUCCAAGGAAGCUUCAGAGCUUGCUUUGAGAGCCUUCAGCCCUGAACGCCGUCAUCCGCUGCCUUCUGAUGGCCACCAGCUUGCCGGACUCCUUCCGGAUCUCCACUGUCACCGCCGUCAUCCGCCCUUUCUGCUCCCCCUCCGCCCAUCCAUCUCCACUUCCUCCUGGAUACACAACAUUCCAGUUCCUUUGAAACAUACAAGUACAUAUCCUUUCAAUGCUGUUUCUAAAUAUACACUGAACUGAACUUUGGAUUCCUUAACAAGCUUCCAUUGUUUGGAUAUUUCCUUGGAGGGAAAUGUAACACCCGAAAAUUUGCAACUUUUAGAAAUAGACGAAAAAUAGUUUAAUUUGUUAUUUUGUGCUCAUGAAACAUAAGAAAAAUAAUAUUUUCAUUAAAAUAAACUUUAUCAUAGGAUUAAUAACAUGGUUGUGCAUUCAUAAUGGAGCAUAUAUUUUAUUUCACUAUGUGGAUUUGAGAAAAGUCAAAAUGUUUUCAAAAUUAUUUUAAAUUGUUUUGAAAAAGCUUUGAAAUAAAAAGAAAAAAAGAAAAUCUCUCCUUCUUUUCCUGUUGCCCUGAGUGGCGCACCUCUCCCUCUCCCUAGUUUUGGCCCAAAGGCCCAGCUCCCAUCCCACAAGCCCAGCACACACUCAGCCCAACAGCAGGCCGCGCCCUUCCUUCCCCUCACUUCUGUCUUGCUGCCACCGGUGCCCGCCUGGCAGCGACCCCGGCCUUCUUCUACCUUACGCCGUAAGGAGGCUGGACACCGACCCGUGCUCAACCGAGCCUUCUAAAGCCUCUUGACCCUUCACUGCUCCCUCCUUUACCCUACAGUCCAUGCAAGGAGCCACUCUAGCCCUAAUUUCUUGCUAACAGAUCUCGCUUUGCCGGCAGUUCCGCCCACCGUAGUGGAGUUUCCAACUCGCUGCCGUUCCUACGGAUUCGAGCCUUGGCCGAGCUUCACAAUGCUCCUGCGAGGUCGCCAAGCCGUCUCCUUCUUUCUCUCGUGCUCUAGUUUGAUCGCUAACCCUCACCGAACCAUGCAGGAAAUUGAUCUCCGCCCUGCAUGGUUCAUCCCGAGACCUCAUUUCUGGAAUUAAGCGCUUCGGUGUGUUCGCGUUGGUCUCCUCUUUCUUGUGUUUUUCCUGUUGGAAAUCAUUCACUAAAUCAUCGGAUUUGCAAACUCCGGUGAACUCCUCACCACCGGCCAUGGCGCCACUGUGCCAGAGCUGCUGUUGCCGG
Molecule: long non-coding RNA, 1811 nt
Filed under: Sorghum bicolor (sorghum)
Lineage: Eukaryota; Viridiplantae; Streptophyta; Magnoliopsida; Poales; Poaceae
Description: long non-coding RNA (SBIC_LNC007852)
Source: RNAcentral